This 1366-nucleotide ribosomal RNA is filed under the name uncultured bacterium. RNAcentral's name for it is "bacterial SSU rRNA". It matches the Rfam family "Bacterial small subunit ribosomal RNA", at positions 28 to 1381 of the family's 1533-position model. The record is from RNAcentral.
AUUGAACGCUGGCGGCAUGCUUAACACAUGCAAGUCGAGCGAAGAGAGGUAGCUUGGUACUGAUCUUAUCGGGGGACAGGUGAGAAAUGCUUAUGAAUCUGCCUAUUACCGGGGGACAACAUUUCCAAAGGAAUGCUAAUACCGCAUAAUUUCUACUCGAGAAAGCAGGGGAUCUUCGGACCUUGCUCUAAUAGAUGAGCCUCACUCGGAUUAUCUAGUUGGUGGGGUAAAGGUCUACCAACGCGACGAUCUGUAGCGGGUCUGAUAGAGAUGAUCCGCCACACUGGGACUGAGACACAGCCCACACUCCUACCGGAGGCAGCAGUGGGGAAUAUUGUACAAUGGGCGCAAGCCUGAUCCAGCCAUGCCGCGUGUGUGAAGAAUGACUUAUGGCUGUAAAGCACUUUCAGCCAGGAGGAGGCUACUUUAGUUAAUACCUCCAGAUAGUGAACCUUACUCUCACAAUAAGCACCGGCUAACUCUGUGCCAACAGGCGCGGUAAUACUCCAGGGUGCAUGCGUUAAUCGGAUUUGCUGGGCGCAUAGCGCGCCUAGGCGGCUAACUCAAUCGAAUGUCCAAAUCCCCGAGGCUUACUUGGGAAUUGCAUUCGAUACCUGGUUAGCUGAAUGGGGGAGAGGAUGGCAGAAUUCCCUGUGUAACGGUGAAAUGCGUAGAGAUCUGGAGGAAUACCGAUGGCGAAGGCAGCCCUCUGGCCUAUCACUGACGCUGAGGUGCGAAAGCAUGGGGAGCAAACAGGAUUAGAUACCCUGGUAGUCCAUGCCGUAAACGAUGUCUACUAGCCGUUGGGGCCUUUGAGGCUUUACUGGCGCAUCUCACACGAUAAGUAGACCGCCUGGGGAGUACGGUCGCAAGACUAUAACUCUCAUGAAUCGACGGGGGCCCCCACAACCGGUGGAGCAUGUGGUUUAUUUCUAUGCGCCGCGAAAAACCUUACCUGGCCUUGACAUAGUAAGAACUUUCCAUGAGAUGGAUGGGUGCCUUUGGGAACUGGCAUACAGGUGCUGCAUGGCUGUCGUCAGCUCGUGUCGUGAGAUGUUGGGUUAAGUCCCGCAACGAGCGCAACCUCUUUUCCUUAUUUGCCAGCGAGUAAUGUCGGGAACUUUAAGGAUACUGCCAGUGUACAAUCUGGAGGAAGGCGGGGAGGACGUCAAGUCAUCAUGGCCCUUACGGCCAGGGCUACCCCCGUGCUCCAAUGGUGGGUACCAAAGGGUGGGUACCUAGCGAUAGGAGGGUAUUCUCAAAAAGCGGAUUGUAGUCGGGAUGGGAGUUGCCAACUGGCCUCCAGGAAGUGGGGAUCGUUGGUAUUCCCGGAUCAGAAUGCCGCGGUGGAUACGUUCCCGGGCCU